AUGAAAAAUCUCUCAAGAAGUUCUCUCUGGACUUCACUAGUUUUCAUCAUCCAUUCUUCAUUUCUCCAUCAACAACAACCUUCAUCUUUCUCUCUGAAUCACAAGUUCAUGAUAACAACCUUACAUCAGAUUUUUUCCCCAAUCUUCAGCCAUAUUUCUGCGUUCACCAUCAUCGUCAAUACUUCUCCAUUUCAAUCCCCACCAUGUGAAGAUCAACAAUAA
Molecule: non-coding RNA, 222 nt
Organism: Vicia faba (fava bean)
Lineage: Eukaryota; Viridiplantae; Streptophyta; Magnoliopsida; Fabales; Fabaceae
Source: the annotation of a GenBank genome assembly